UUAGUCCUAGGUCCUAGGACCUAGGACCAAAAUAAGGAUGGAAUAGGAUUGCACUUAAGACCGUUUCAAUAAACAAUCUUAUCUUUAGUCACAGACUUAGUCCUAACUUUUGACUUAGGACCAAAUUGUACUCUCGAAUUGAAGUUAAAAAAUAUAGCGCACGCGCUGUUUGCCGCAAUAUGUCAUUCGUCUGCGACAAAAUAAGGGAAGCGCCGCAGGAAAGCUACAGAACAGAUCGGACUCUGAAUACCUUGUUCUUACAGAGGCUGUAAAGAUCUUUCUCCCAGUAAGAAGGAAAAACAUGCUCCUUUUGUUACCAAUAGCGCUUAAUGGAGUGUCUGGGAGUCGGUGGUUGAUCGGUAACUUUUGACAUUUCUGUGUUAAUUUUUCUUUCGUAUAGACUUUAGUCAUAUUUAACAAGGGAAGCAACUAGAUUUUGAAAAAAGCGGAAAUAUUUUUAUGAUGUUCAAUUCCGGAGGAAAAUCAGAUUUAAUUAAGAGUUGGCUGCAUGAUGUGUCAGUCAUGUAACCGGCAUAUUCAUCUAUGUGCAGAAGUGAUGGCUGGAUACAGAAUUAUUUAUUAGUUGGACAACAGUGAAUACAGGUCACAGCAUGCUGAUAGAGAUCCUCAGCUCAUAUGGUAGCCAGGGUUUAGCAGUGAGCUGACUCAAAAGAUGCCAUUUAGUGAUUUAAUGUGGAUAAUCCAUUCAGAUCAUUCACCAAUGAUGUACAACACUGAUGGAACUGAAGGCAAUACUUGCACUGACAGUCAGGGCUGGUUAUUUAAAGUAUAUAUAAUUAGAUGUACCUCCUGAUGUACCUCCUUAAAUACGAGAUUUCUGCCAUGUGAAAGGAGCAAGUUGAAAGAAGCACUGUUGGAGAUGGGGUCCAUGAACCUUAUGUAUACAGCUAUAUGAACAAGGGCUGGAACAAAGCAGACAAGACUGGACUUUUAAUUGUUAAUGAAUAUUUUAAGUUGUAUUGUAUGUCACCAGUAUAAUAGGGUUAUUAUAAAAGUAGUUAGAUCUUGGAUGUGGUAUUUGGCUUGGAGUGCAUUUUGCCAGACCUGGAACACACGAGGCCUGCAAGCGCAAAGUCUGACCCGCUGUGGUAAAAUCGCCAAAGGCCUAAUACAACCUCCCAGAUCAAGCUACUGUUAUAAUCGUACUUUAAUUUUUUAUCUCCAUGUACUAAAAAUCAUUUCACAAAAAUACCCUAGCGUUACAGGCGAUAUAUUAAAUUUGGUACGCCUUUAAAGUUUAAAUUGAUGUUGUUGUUCUUGUUUAUACACAAUUGAUUACCGUGCCUUGUUUACAUGUGGGAUUUAUUGUUUGAAAAUGAAAUAAAAAUGUUUAAAAUGAAUAAGAAAAUGUCAUUAUCAAAAGCUUGCACUUUUAUGUUAAGGGAGUAGUGACAGGAAAUUUUCCAUUUUUUGUAGCUCAACCUGAUCACAAAGUGCUCAGGGGUGAGUAAUUGUUGUCACUCAUUGCAUGUCUAUCCGCCCGUCCAUACUUUUCUUAACCUACAUCUCUUAAAUCAUUUGGUGGCAGGCAGAUGAUGAAACUUGGCUUGGAUGUCCUCUGGAUAUUCCUGCCUUUCCCUAGGGAAAAACCUUGUCUAAAGUACUGUAACUAUUAUGACGUCAUAAACUAUAUAAAUUUUGUCAGGAAAACACAGAUCUAUUUGCCUCCAUGAUCUAAUUUUAACGUGAUGAGCAAGAAAAAUUAUCUAACAUGUCUGCAUGUGUAAGACAGCUGUUUCCCUAUCCUCGGGACAGCUCGGAUAAUGCUUGGUUUUUCAUUCCACACUAUCCCUCGUGGUAUAGAAAAACCUGUCUUACAUCGGCAGGCAUGUAAGAUCCUUAUAGUCUUGUUAUGCAUAUUAUUGGUAUGCUCAGCUUCAGUGCUUUUCAGUGAAGUUCUAUUGAUUUGUUAUAUUUUAUCUUGUUUAUACUACUUGCUGUAAACAAUUAGGCUGAAUUUCACCAAAUCUCGCAAGUGAUUAGUGUGGAGCAAAGUUGUGCAUAUUAUCUUCAUGUUCUAAUAAAUAAUUUUUAUCAGAGUCAUGACCCUUGAUUUGUCAGAAUCUUUGAUCUGUGCUACUUCUCCUAUAUCACACUAAGGGUUAAAAUGGCAUUUUUAGACAUUUUUUGUUUUUAUUAGCUCACCAGAGCCAAAGGCUCAGGGUGAGCUAUUAGGAUCACUCACCGUCCGUCAUCCGUUGUCCGUAAACUUUUACUUCAAACGACAUCUCCUCAUUAACCGCUAGGCAAAUUUCAUCCAAACUUCACAGGAAUGUUCUUUGAGUGAAGCUCUACAAAAAUUGUUCAAAGAAUUGAAUUCCAUGCAGAACUCUGAUUGCCAUGGCAACCGAAAGGAAAAACUUUAAAAAUCUUCUUCUCAAAAACCAGAAGCCCUAGAGCUUAGAUAUUUGGUGUGAAGCAUUGCCUAGUGGACCUCUACCAAGUUUGUUCAAAUCAUGACCCCAGGUCAAAAUAGACCCCGCCCCAGGGGUCACUUGAUUUUACAUAGAAAAAUCUUAAAAAAAUCUUCUUCUCGAAAACCAGAAGCCCUACAGCUUAGAUAUUUAACAUGUAGCAUUGCCUAGUGGAUCUCUACUAAAGUUGUUCAAAUCAUGACCCCGGGGUCAAAAUUGCCCCUGCCCCAGGGGUCACUUGAUUUUACAUAGAUUUCUAUAGGAAAAUCUUCAAAAAAAUUUCAAAUAAGUCUGAUUCUUCAAAAACAUUGCUGCCAGGGGGCGUGGUAACUUUUUCCUUCAUGUAUACGGUACUUGUCCAAAUUAUUGCCUUAAGGUAAAAAAAUGGCCACGCCCCUGUGUCUGACAUGUACUUAUUAUAGGCUUUUAUAUUAGAAACUUUGAAAAAUCUUUUUCUCUGAAUCAAUAAUAGCUAGAGCCUUCAUAUUUGGAGUGUGUAAUAUCAGUUUUGUAAUGUCUACUGCAAUUGUUCAGAUUAUUGCCCUAGGUUCAAAAGUGUGUUUGACAUGUGUAUAAUAUAGGCUUGCACAGAGGAAACCUAACUCUGAUUUAUACAAACACACUUGUACAAAGGUGAGCGCUUUAGGGUCAAUGACUCUUGUUAUUUAUUAAAGAUUAUUGUCAUAAAAACAAGCUGAAAUUUAUUAACUUCUAGCCCCAGUUUCACAAAAACUUUAUUAAUUGCUUAGCUAUGUCUGUUAUUUUAGAUGCAUGUUUUUGCCCUUUAUGUGUCUUCAAUGUUGACUUUCUUAGCUCACCUGAGCCAAAGGCUCAGGGUGAACUAUUGUGAUCGCUCACCAUCCGGCGUCUGUCCACACUUUCCUUUAAACAACAUCUCAUCCUAAACCACCAGGCCAAUUUUGAUGAAACUUCACAGGGAUGUUCCUUAAAUGGUCUUCUUCUUUAAUAACUGAAUUUUAUACAGAACUCUGGUUGCCAUGGCAACUGAAAGGAAACACUUUAAAAAUCUUCUUGUCAAAAACCACAGGGCCAAGGACUUUGAUAUUUGGUAUGUAGCAUCAUAUAGUGGUCCUCUACAAAGAUUAAUCAAAUUAUCCCCCUAGGGUCAACUGUGGCCUCGUCCCUGGGGUCACAUGGUUUAUAAAGACUUAUAUAGGAAAAAACUUUAAAAAUCUUCUUGUCUGAAACCACAAGACCUAGGCCUUUGAUAUUUGGUAUGUAGCAUUGCCUUGUGGUCCUCUAUUAAGAUUGUUCAAAUUAUGCCCCUAGGGUGAAAAGAGGCCCAGCCCCGGGUACCAAGUUUUACACAGACUUAUGUAGGAAAAACUUUAAAAAUCUUUUUGUCUGAAACUGCAAGGCCUAGGCUUUUGAUAUUUGUUAGCAUUGCAUUGCCUAGUGUCCUUUACCAUGAUUAUUCAAAUUAUGCCCCUGAAGUGAAAAGAGGCCCCGUCCAGGGUGUCUCAUGUUUUACAAAGACUUAAAAAGGAGAAAACUUGAAAAUCUUCUUGCCUGAAAAUGCAAGGCCUAGGCUUUUAAACAUUCAUUUUUUAGCUCCACUAUUCAGAGAAAAGGGGGGCUAUUCUACUUGCCCCGUUGUCGCGUGAGCUUUCUUGGUUAAUGUUUUUCGGCAACCUUUAUUUUUCUGUCAUAUCUUUGUUACUAUAAUAUAUCUUACUGUAACUUCACAUAAACAUUGUCCUGCAUACAGACAAAGUGUGUGCAGGGGCUGGGCCCAUUAUACAUAAGGUCAAGGUCACCAAGGUGUUAUACUUGGGUUAUUUUUAAGGUUAAAGUUUUUCGGCAACCUUUGUUUUUUCUGUCAUAUCUUUGUUACUAAUGCUUAUAUCUUACUAUAACUUCACAUUAACACUGAAGAAUGUGCAGGGGCUGGGCCCAUUAUACCCAAGGUCAAGGUCACCAAGGUGUUAUACUUGGGCUAUUUUUAAGGUUAAAGUUUUUCUGCAACCUUUGCUUUUCUGUCAUAUCUUUGUUAAUCCCUGCCACAAGUGAUGGGGGGUUAUAGGAAUGGUCUCCAUCCGUCCUUCAGUCUGUUCGUUUGUUUUGUUUGUUUGUUUUGGGUUUAAUGCCGUUUUUCAACAGUAUUUCAGUCAUGUAAGUUAGGCAGUUAACCUAACCAGUAUUCCUGGAUUCUAUACCAGUACAAACCUGUUCUCCGCAAGUAACUGUUUGCCCCGUCUGUUCGUGUUUGCUCCAUAUCUUCUAAACCCCUUGAAGGAUUUUCAUGAAACUUGGGUCAAAUGAUCACCUCAUCAAGACGAUGUGCAGACCCCAUGAGUCAGCCUUGUUGGCUCAAGGUCAAAACUCAAGGUCAAAGGUUUGAGCCUUCCAUUUUGUGUCCACUCUGUAUCUCAUAAACCCCUUGAAAGAUUUUCAUCAAACUAGGGUCAAAUGAUCACCUCAUCAAGAACUCAUGAGUCAGCCAUGUCAACUUAAGGUCAAGGUCACAACUGAAGGUCAAAGGUUUGAGCUCUGUAUCUCCUAAACCCCUUGAAGGAUUUUCAUGAAACUUGGAUCAAAUGAUCACCUCAUCAAGAUGUUGUGCAGAAUUCAUGAGUCAGCCAUGUCAGUUCAAGGUCAGGUCACAGCUAAAGGUCAAAGGUUUACCCUUUCACUAUCCAUAAGUGACGGGGGAUUUAGCUGUCUUUCAGACUGCCUUUUUACUAUUGCUUAUAUCUCACUGUAAGUUCACAUAAACAUUGUCCAGCACACAAACAAAGUAUGUGCAGAGGCUGGGCCCAUUAAACCCAAGGUCAAGGUCACAAAGUUGUUAUACCUGGAAUUAUUUUCAUGUUAAAAUUUUUCGAAAGCUUUGUUUAUAGACAUAUCUUUGGUACUUUAAAAGAUAAUGACUUGAAAUUAAAAACAUUUCUGUAUAAUCAUCAUCUGCAUGUGUGUUUACAAUCCCCAUAACUCUUAUUGUAUUUUUGACAGAAUUAUGCCCCUUUCAAACUUAAUGUUUUUUGGCAAUCUUCGCUUUCUGGAUAUAACUAGUACAAUUUAAGAUAAAGACUUGAAACUUAAAAUGUAUUGGUACCUCUAAUUUUUAGGUGUAUUUUGACAUAUCUGUACCUUGAAAGAAUUUUUUCUUUUUGUUUUUGGUUAAAGCAGUGGUACUCGGGUGAGCAAUAUAGAGCCAUCAUGGCC
Mercenaria mercenaria is the source of this 5621-nucleotide long non-coding RNA. RefSeq lists it as uncharacterized. The record is from RefSeq and is a predicted model, not a curated record. The transcript is spliced from 4 exons. Lineage: Eukaryota; Metazoa; Mollusca; Bivalvia; Venerida; Veneridae.